Molecule: transfer RNA, 70 nt
Filed under: Camelus bactrianus (Bactrian camel)
Lineage: Eukaryota; Metazoa; Chordata; Mammalia; Artiodactyla; Camelidae
Also listed under: 2 other names
Rfam family: tRNA
About the family: Transfer RNA (tRNA) molecules are approximately 80 nucleotides in length. Their secondary structure includes four short double-helical elements and three loops (D, anti-codon, and T loops).
Source: Rfam by way of RNAcentral
GAGGUUGUAGCUCAGGUAGAGCACAUGCUCGGCAUGCAUGAGGCCCUGGGUUCAAUUCCCUGUUCCUCCA